This is a non-coding RNA of Poecilia reticulata (guppy), 4564 nucleotides long. NCBI's taxonomy places the organism in Eukaryota, Metazoa, Chordata, Actinopteri, Cyprinodontiformes, Poeciliidae. The record is from RefSeq and is a predicted model, not a curated record.
UUGAGCAGCUUUUUUUCAUAAAAGUGCUCACAAACCAACUUCCCAAUUCUUAAUGCGGCAAAAAACAAGGAAGAAAUAUGAAAGAGAAAAGAAGACGGCAGUUUGGACGCCUGUGCAGAAAGUCACUGAAGUCGAGUGGAAAGGUGGACAAAAAAAAGAGGUAAAUAAAACUUUGAUUUACGCAAUGCUUUAGCUCUCAUCAGACUUAUGAACAAAAUAAUUUAAUGUUCAUGUGUGUGGGUGGGUUUGGGAGAGUUAAAGAGAAAAAUCAGUACUUUCUGGCUGAACAAAGUUAAAUAUCAAUUCAAACCUAUAAUGCCACAGAGGUGUGCAGUACAUAAAUUCUGAUAAAUACACAUUUUAAUUAUUUACAGUCACAUUUAUUUGUCUUUACUGAAAAGAUGUAAAGUCAUAAUUAGGUUGCAAAACUUUAUUUAAAACAUUCAUAAAGUGCAGCAAUAGUGAAAUGAAAUCCAGUAAAGAAAUGUUGCAUUGUAUGUAUGAUGUUAUGUCUGAAUUCUGCUUCAGUUUCAGUAUUUUUCUGAAACUUCUGGAUAAAAGUUUCUUCCCUGUUUGGAAUGAACUGAAGGUUUCAAGCUUCAAAUCAGAAUGUUUGUUUUCAUCUGGUUAAUCGUGUCUCUCCCUUCUAACAAUGAUGCAUUACGAUGGGUAAACUUCAGUAAACAUGAAGGUUACAGUGUUGGUUUCAAUGAGGACGAAAUAAGAGCAGAAGCUGGACUCUGUGCUGUGAUACCAUGUGCUUUCACAGCUCUCUUUGUACCCGAACGUAUUAUUUGGUAUAAAUGUAAAGCAUCUGAUGUCAGAUGUGACAAAUCUGAAUGGAUAUUUCACUCUGACGAGAACGAGGAAAACAUUCAGUUUGGGUUCAAAGGUCGAGUGUCACUGCUGAACCUGAACAUGGCUCAGAAGAACUGCAGCAUGAUGAUCAACAAUCUUAAGAAAUCCGAUUCUGGAUCAUAUCAGCUCCGAGUUGAGGGAAAAGAAACAGGAGAAGCAUUUACAUAUGAGACAAAAACAACAUUAUCAGUAACAGGUCUGAACCAAACGCCCUCAGUGAUGAUUCCUCCACUGACUGAGGGACAGCAGGCCACUCUGACCUGCACUGCUCCUGGUCUCUGCUCUGGGUCUCCUCCUAACAUCACCUGGAUGUGGAGAGGAAAAGGAAGGAAAGACUAUUUUAUCAAAGGAAACAUUACUGCUUUAAAAACUGAGAAUCUGACUGCUGUCACACAGAUACACAUCUCAACUCUGACCUUUAACUCUUCAGCUGAUCACCACAACACCAAAAUAACCUGUAAGGUCAGCUUCACAGGCGGCCUAACUACAGAGGAGACUGUGACUCUGAAUGUGACAUAUGCAAGAAAACCUCGGAUCUCUGUUAGGUCAACAGUUAAAGAAGGAAAUAAUCUGAAUCUGACCUGCAGUGUGGACAGUUUCCCUCUAUCAGUUAUCACCUGGACUAAAUCUGGAAAACAAGCUGAACAGCAGAGUCACAACGUAUCUGAAAUGCAUGGCAGUAGUAAAAUCUGUCAGCAACUAAAAAGAAGGUGCUUGUUUUCCAUCUCUAAUGUGACGAAAGAAGACGCUGGUCUUUACAUCUGCACAGCACAACAUCUGAACAACACUCUGAGAGAAGAAAUUAAUGUAACAGUGAAAUAUGCUAGAAAACCUCAGAUUUCUGGCAGAGCAACAGUCAUGGAGGGAGACGAUCUGAACCUGACCUGCAGUGUGGACAGCGUUCCUCCAUCAGUUAUCAAGUUGACUAAAUCUGGAACAGAAACCAACUGGCAGGACAAUAUUCUAAUCAAAGCAGAUAACAGAAAAGUCUACCUGCAGGAAAAAAGUGGACAUGUAUCGUUGUCCAUCAUGAAUGUAACAACAGAAGAAGCAGGACGUUACAUUUGUACAGCAACGUAUCAGAAUGACAGCAUGACAGAAGAAGUUCAUGUUAAAGUGAACUACCUCAGAAAACCUUGGAUCUCUGGUAGAACAACAGUAAAGGAGGGAGAUGUUCUGAAUCUGACCUGUAGUGCUGACAGCUUUCCUCUCUCAGUUAUCAACUGGACUAAGAUGGAAACAAAAACUAACCAGCAGCCCAGCAAUUCAGCUGGUGCUUUUAACAUCACUGAAAACACCUUGAAGGGGAAAGAUGGCAAUGGUUCUUUGUCCAACACUAAUGUGGCAGCAGAAGAUUCAAGGGUUUACAUCUGUACUGCAAAAAACCUUACCGAUAAUCUAACAAAACAAGUCAAACUUACAGUAACAUAUGAUUUUGAAAAUGCAACUGUGAAGGAAGAAGAUCUGAAUCUGAACUGCAGUGUGGACAGUUUUCAGCCAUUAGUUGUCAGAUGGACUAAAAAUGGAACAGAAACCAAUCUAAAAAUAGACACUUUAAGUAAAGCAUUUACUGCAGUCUAUGUGCUGUAUGAACAGGCAAAUGUCUCUUCUCCCAUCACGAAUGAAACAAUGGAAGAUGCAAAGCGCUACGUUUGUACAGCAGCAUAUCAGAAAAGUACCAUGGAAGAAAAACUCCAUAUAGUGACAAGCAUAGGAAAACCUCAGAUCUCUGGCAAGACAACAGCUGAGGAAGAUGCUCUGAGUCUGACCUGCACUGUUGACAGUUUUUCCUCCUCAGUUAUCAACUUGACCAUAUUUGAAAACAGCAACCUGCAGACUAAUAUUUCAAGUAAACUGCAAAACAGCAGUGAAAAUCUCAAGCAGGAACAAAGUGGGAUUGGCACUUUGUUCAUCAAAAGCGUUACAGCAGAACAUGCAGGCCUUUACAUCUGCACAGCAACUGUGCCAAACAUAAAUCUAACAGAAAGAAUCAAUUUAACAGUUACAUACAGAAGGAGGCCUCAGAUCACUGGAAACCAAACAAUAAAGGAAGGAGAUGCUCUGAAUCUGACCUGCAGUGUUGAUAGUGUUCCUCCAUCACUCAUCAUGUGGACUAAAAAUGUACUCAGCAUGCAUCCGAGCAACAGAACUAGCUCCCCCAACAACACUGGAUCUGCUACUCUUGUCGUUUUCAACAUGACAGUAGGAGAUUCUGGACGAUACACCUGCACAGCAACAUACGAGAACAUCACUGAGACUAAAUAUGUUCACGUAAAAGUGACUUGGUCUCCAAAGGUACUGAAUGGUUCUGGAUGUGUGCUUCGGACAGACGCUUUGACCUGCAUGUGUCUUAGUGAGGGAUUUCCUCUACCUACCAUCCAAUGGCCGAUGCUGAAAGACCACACUGAGUACUCCAUCACCAGUGUUGUGUCAAACCACACUGUCAACAGCACCGUUACCAUAACUGUUAAAAACCAUGGCAACAUCAGUGUUGAAUGUGUUAGCAGCAAUGAAAAUGGGGAAGCAAAAGAAAACCUCACAGUCUUCUGGACAAAACGAGAAGUAAGCAAGCAAACACCUAAUUCAGAAAAAAGUUCCAUGCUGGAAAUCAUCAUUGCCUUUUUGGUUGGGUUCCUUCUUGCACCUAUCAUCUUCUGUUUGUUCAUGAAAUUCUACAGAAUAAAACGGAAGAACUCUGAAAAUGCGGGUGAAUCUGUGGAGAUGAUUACGCCGUUGAUGUCGAAUGGUCAAGCUGUUCAAGGGGGAGAAAAGAAAGAAGCUUUGGCAGGAGCUCCUGAAGCUACCAACGGUCCAAAGGAAUUGGUGUAUGCCAACAUUGACUUUUCCCUCCUAAACCGGGUUCCCACAAAACGGAUAACGAGUUCAGAAAACAAAAACACGGAAUAUGCAGAAAUCAAGACAAACAAGGAAAAAGGUCAUCAAGUGGAGAUGAUGACUGAGGAGGAUAACGAGAUGAAAAGCUGCGUUCAAGAAGUGAAAGAAGAGGCUGAGGAACCAGUGUACGCAAAAGUGGAGGAUUUAGUUGAGGAGAGUUGAAGAUUGAUUGUGAGGCCAGACGUCCAAGACAGAAUCACAAAAAACCCCUAAAGCUCGAGUCCAACAUGGAUACAAUGAUUAUAAAAUACAAACCACUCAUGAUCUUGAAGAUGCCAUUCCAACGUGUCCUCCCUUUUGGAUGUUACACAAUGUUGUAAACUGGUUUCAACUAAUGAGCUCUUAGUGUAACCAGUCAAAGAAACACUUUAGAAUGUCUUUAAUUAGAAUUGUAUUUUUUGUAGUGUACUAAGAGAGAUCCUACAUUUAUUGAAUGUGAAAUUGAACCUGUUACCCGUUACCAUGAACGUUCAAAGGCGGAAAGGAAACAAAGAACAUAAAAGGCUCUAUGACUUGGAGAACAUAUUCAGGAGGUAUUCAAAUAUGUGAUGCAGCUUUUUAAAUAAAAUUAUAUUUAUAUUUAUUUUAGUAUACUCUGACUGUCAUUCACAAAAUCGUUAACCCUUUACCCGGCAUAUUGCUCUCAUUAAUCAGUUUCCACUGUACUUGAUGCUUUUCUAUGAUCCUGCAGGUCAAAACUAUGACUAAAAAAAUGACAUAAAUGUAUUGUGACAUAGCUCAUCAAAUAUGGCAUAUUUUGUUUAUAUAUUUUUAUUGUAUUCAUUUUAAGUAAAUGCAUAAUAAAUGUACU